RNAcentral lists this ribosomal RNA (273 nucleotides) under uncultured bacterium. RNAcentral describes it as "partial 16S ribosomal RNA". It matches the Rfam family "Bacterial small subunit ribosomal RNA", at positions 524 to 796 of the family's 1533-position model. The record is from RNAcentral.
UACAGAGGGUGCGAGCGUUGUCCGGAAUCACUGGGCGUAAAGGGCGCGUAGGUGGCGACGCAAGUCAAUGGUGAAAGCUCGCCGCUUAACGGCGAGUCGGCCACUGAUACUGCGAGGCUGGAGCACUGUAGAGGCUAAUGGAAUUCCGGGUGUAGCGGUGGAAUGCGUAGAGAUCCGGAAGAACACCGGUGGCGAAGGCGGUUAGCUGGGCAGUUGCUGACACUGAGGCGCGACAGCGUGGGGAGCAAACAGGAUUAGAAACCCCCGUAGUCC